CGGUCCUACGGGAGGCAGCAGUGAGGAACAUUGGUCAAUGGCCGGAAGGCUGAACCAGCCAAGCCGCGUGAAGGACGAAGGUGCCAAGCAUUGUAAACUUCUUUUGUCAAGGGACAAAAUCAGGCUCGAGAGCCUGACCGAGGGUACUUGAAGAAAAAGCAUCGGCUAACUCCGUGCCAGCAGCCGCGGUAAUACGGAGGAUGCGAGCGUUAUCCGGGUUUAUUGGGUUUAAAGGGGGCGUAGGCGGACUGUUAAG
RNAcentral lists this ribosomal RNA (256 nucleotides) under uncultured bacterium. RNAcentral's name for it is "partial 16S ribosomal RNA". It matches the Rfam family "Bacterial small subunit ribosomal RNA", at positions 334 to 587 of the family's 1533-position model. The record is from RNAcentral.